RNAcentral lists this ribosomal RNA (474 nucleotides) under uncultured bacterium. RNAcentral's name for it is "bacterial SSU rRNA". It matches the Rfam family "Bacterial small subunit ribosomal RNA", at positions 21 to 518 of the family's 1533-position model. The record is from RNAcentral.
GGCUCAGGACGAACGCUGGCGGCGUGCUUAACACAUGCAAGUUGAACGGUAUGACAUGGAAGCUUGCUGAAGUGUCAUAUAGUAGCGGACGGGUGAGUAAUGCAUGAGAAGCUGCCAUUGGAGGGGGACAACAGUUGGAAACGGCUGCUAAUACCCCGUAUGCCGGAGGGUGAAAGGGAGUAAUCCGCCCGAUGAGGUGCUCAUGUCCUAUCAGCUGGUUGGUGGGGUAACGGCCUACCAAGGCGACGACGGGUAGCCGGCCUGAGAGGGUGAACGGCCACACUGGAACUGAGAUACGGUCCAGACUCCUACGGGAGGCAGCAGUGGGGAAUAUUGGGCAAAUGGGGGCAACCCUGACCCAGCGACGCCGCGUGGGGGAAGACGGCCUUCGGGUUGUAAACCUCUUUUGUACGGGAAGAAGGAAGUGACGGUACUGUACGAAUAAGUCCCGGCUAACUACGUGCCAGCAGCCGC